RNAcentral lists this transfer RNA (66 nucleotides) under Cavia porcellus (domestic guinea pig). It matches the Rfam family "tRNA". Rfam says of the family: Transfer RNA (tRNA) molecules are approximately 80 nucleotides in length. Their secondary structure includes four short double-helical elements and three loops (D, anti-codon, and T loops). Lineage: Eukaryota; Metazoa; Chordata; Mammalia; Rodentia; Caviidae. The record is from Rfam by way of RNAcentral.
GGGGAUUUAGCUUAGUGGCAUAAGUACCUGCCUUGCAAGCAGGCAGUUGUGUGAGUUCGAUCUCCG